UACAGAGGCCCCAAGCGUUACUGAGAAUCACUGGGUUUAAAGGGUGCGUAGGUGGCGCGUUAAGUUCGUUGUGAAAUCCCUGGGCUCAACCCAGGAAUUGCUUCGAAUACUGGCGUGCUUGAGGCUAGUAGGGGUCACUGGAACUGACGGUGGAGCGGUGAAAUGCGUAGAUAUCGUCUGGAACGCCGAAGGUGAAAACAGCUCGCUGGGGCUGCGCUGACGCUGAGACACGAAAGCCAGGGGAGCGAACGGG
This 253-nucleotide ribosomal RNA is filed under the name uncultured bacterium. RNAcentral's name for it is "partial 16S ribosomal RNA". It matches the Rfam family "Bacterial small subunit ribosomal RNA", at positions 524 to 776 of the family's 1533-position model. The record is from RNAcentral.